This 56-nucleotide ribosomal RNA is filed under the name Bipolaris sorokiniana. Its description in RNAcentral is "partial 28S ribosomal RNA". The record is from RNAcentral. Lineage: Eukaryota; Fungi; Ascomycota; Dothideomycetes; Pleosporales; Pleosporaceae.
UCCAUCAAGACUCUACAAAUUUUAACUUUUGACCUCGGAUCAGGUAGGGAUACCCG